RNAcentral lists this ribosomal RNA (301 nucleotides) under uncultured bacterium. RNAcentral describes it as "partial 16S ribosomal RNA". It matches the Rfam family "Bacterial small subunit ribosomal RNA", at positions 509 to 807 of the family's 1533-position model. The record is from RNAcentral.
CAGCCGCCGCGGGAAAACGAAGGGAGCUAGCGUUGUUCGGAAUUACUGGGCGUAAAGGGCGCGUAGGCGGCCAUUCAAGUUAGAUGUGAAAGCCCUGGGCUCAACCUAGGAAUUGCAUUUGAUACUGUUUGGCUUGAGUUCGGGAGAGGUGAGUGGAAUUCCCAGUGUAGAGGUGAAAUUCGUAGAUAUUGGGAAGAACACCAGUGGCGAAGGCGGCUCACUGGACCGACACUGACGCUGAGGCGCGAAAGCGUGGGGAGCAAACAGGAUUAGAUACCCCAGUAGUCCCUGUCUCUUAUAC